AUUGAACGCUGGCGGCAUGCCUUACACAUGCAAGUCGAACGGCAGCACGGGUGCUUGCACCUGGUGGCGAGUGGCGAACGGGUGAGUAAUACAUCGGAACAUGUCCUGUAGUGGGGGAUAGCCCGGCGAAAGCCGGAUUAAUACCGCAUACGAUCUACGGAUGACAGCGGGGGACCUUCGGGCCUCGCGCUAUGGGGUUGGCCGAUGGCUGAUUAGCUAGUUGGUGGGGUAAAGGCCUACCAAGGCGACGAUCAGUAGCUGGUCUGAGAGGACGACCAGCAACACUGGGACUGAGACACGGCCCAGACUCCUACGGGAGGCAGCAGUGGGGAAUUUUGGACAAUGGGCGAAAGCCUGAUCCAGCAAUGCCGCGUGUGUGAAGAAGGCCUUCGGGUUGUAAAGCACUUUUGUCCGGAAAGAAAUCCUUGGCCCUAAUACGGUCGGGGGAUGACGGUACCGGAAGAAUAAGCACCGGCUAACUACGUG
This 486-nucleotide ribosomal RNA is filed under the name uncultured bacterium. RNAcentral's name for it is "partial 16S ribosomal RNA". It matches the Rfam family "Bacterial small subunit ribosomal RNA", at positions 30 to 507 of the family's 1533-position model. The record is from RNAcentral.